Molecule: small nuclear RNA, 21 nt
Filed under: Arabidopsis thaliana (thale cress)
Lineage: Eukaryota; Viridiplantae; Streptophyta; Magnoliopsida; Brassicales; Brassicaceae
Description: snRNA_00691
Source: RNAcentral
AUGAAGGUUUUAAAAGGCAAC